GGCAAGGUGGCCGAGCGGUCUAAGGCGCCAGGUUCAGGUCCACCUGAAUUUCCAAUCUUGAAAGAUUUUCCUGGUCUCAGUAAUGGGGCGUGAGUUCGAAUCUCACCCUUGUCA
Molecule: non-coding RNA, 114 nt
Organism: Parachaetomium inaequale
Lineage: Eukaryota; Fungi; Ascomycota; Sordariomycetes; Sordariales; Chaetomiaceae
Source: the annotation of a GenBank genome assembly